Molecule: ribosomal RNA, 490 nt
Filed under: Sigmatoneura kakisayap
Lineage: Eukaryota; Metazoa; Arthropoda; Insecta; Psocodea; Psocidae
Description: partial 16S ribosomal RNA
Rfam family: Bacterial large subunit ribosomal RNA (bases 368-490)
Source: RNAcentral
GUCUUUUUGUAAAAAUUGAAAGUCUAAUCUGCUCACUGAAUAUUAAAGAGCCGCAGUAUUUUGACUGUGCAAAGGUAGCAUAAUCAAUAGUUUUUUAAUUGGGAACUUGUAUGAAGGAUUGAAUGAAAAUUAUAUUUUCUUUGUUUUAAUAAAUUGAAUUUUAAUUUUAAGUGAAAAUGCUUAAAUAUUUUUAAAAGACGAGAAGACCCUAUAGAUUUUAAUUAUUUAAUUAAAUUUUAUAAUAUUAUUUAUUAGGAUAAUUUGAUUGGGGCGAUUUUGUAAAAUAAAAAACUUAAAUUUUGUAAUACCAUAAAUAAUUGAACUUUUUGAUCUUAAUUUUUAAAAUAUGAGGAUAAAUUACCUUAGGGAUAACAGCGUAAUUUUAUUUAAGAGUUCAUAUCUAUAAUAAAGCUUGCGACCUCGAUGUUGAAUUAAGAUUAUAUAUUGGAGUAGAAAUUAAUAUAAUUAGUCUGUUCGACUAUUAAAUUCU